UGAUGUGAGGGCGAUCUGGCUGUGACAUAUGUCACCCCUUUGAUUGCCAGGGUUGAUUCAGCUGAUCUAGCUGGCUAGGCAGGUGUCCCCUUCUUCCCUCACCACUCCAUGUGCAUCCCUCCUGAAGCUGCGCACUCGAUGAAAGAGGACAAUAUCCCAGGUAUAGAAGGAGUGUACCGAAAUCUCCAGUCUUCGGUCCCGGGUAUAAGAUAGCUGUGCUCCCCUGAUAGAACCUUCAAACAAGCUCAAGGUCCAUUGGUAGUUAAUGAUAUAGUCAAUGAGGUUCACAUAGAAUUGGAGAUGAGUACUUGUAUU
RNAcentral lists this small nuclear RNA (315 nucleotides) under Anolis carolinensis (green anole). RNAcentral describes it as "7SK RNA". It matches the Rfam family "7SK RNA". From Rfam's summary of the family: 7SK was discovered as an abundant small nuclear RNA in the mid-70s but a possible function has only recently been suggested. The record is from Rfam by way of RNAcentral. Lineage: Eukaryota; Metazoa; Chordata; Lepidosauria; Squamata; Anolidae.